UACGUAGGUGGCAAGCGUUGUCCGGAUUUAUUGGGUUUAAAGGGUGCGUAGGCGGCCCUGUAAGUCAGUGGUGAAAUACGCCCGCUCAACGGGCGAGGUGCCAUUGAUACUGUAGGGCUUGAGUACAGACGAGGUAGGCGGAAUUGACGGUGUAGCGGUGAAAUGCAUAGAUAUCGUCAAGAACACCGAUAGCGAAGGCAGCUUACUAGGCUGUAACUGACGCUGAGGCACGAAAGUGUGGGGAUCAAACAGG
RNAcentral lists this ribosomal RNA (253 nucleotides) under uncultured bacterium. RNAcentral's name for it is "partial 16S ribosomal RNA". It matches the Rfam family "Bacterial small subunit ribosomal RNA", at positions 524 to 776 of the family's 1533-position model. The record is from RNAcentral.